This 355-nucleotide unclassified non-coding RNA is filed under the name soil metagenome. Its description in RNAcentral is "partial contains 5.8S ribosomal RNA, internal transcribed spacer 2, and large subunit ribosomal RNA". The stretch from base 1 to 120 matches the Rfam family "5.8S ribosomal RNA", at positions 35 to 154 of the family's 154-position model. The record is from RNAcentral.
GAUGAAGAACGUAGCGAAAUGCGAUAAGUAAUGUGAAUUGCAGAAUUCAGUGAAUCAUCGAAUCUUUGAACGCACAUUGCGCCCGCCAGUAUUCUGGCGGGCAUGCCUGUCCGAGCGUCAUUUCAACCCUCGAACCCCUCCGGGGGGUCGGCGUUGGGGAUCGGCCCUGCCUCUUGGCGGUGGCCGUCUCCGAAAUACAGUGGCGGUCUCGCCGCAGCCUCUCCUGCGCAGUAGUUUGCACACUCGCAUCGGGAGCGCGGCGCGUCCACAGCCGUUAAACACCCAACUUCUGAAAUGUUGACCUCGGAUCAGGAAGGAAUACCCGCUGAACUUAAGCAUAUCAAUAAGCGGAGGA